UACGGGAGGCAGCAGUGGGGAAUAUUGCACAAUGGGCGAAAGCCUGAUGCAGCCAUGCCGCGUGUAUGAAGAAGGCCUUCGGGUUGUAAAGUACUUUCAGUCGUGAGGAAGGUGUUAAGGUUAAUAACCUUAGCAAUUGACGUUAGCGACAGAAGAAGCACCGGCUAACUCCGUGCCAGCAGCCGCGGUAAUACGGAGGGUGCGAGCGUUAAUCGGAAUUACUGGGCGUAAAGGGCACGCAGGCGGUUAAUUAAGUUGGAUGUGAAUCCCCGGGCUUAACCUGGGAAUGGCAUUCAAGACUGGUUAGCUAGAGUCUUGUAGAGGGGGUAGAAUUCCAUGUGUAGCGGUGAAAUGCGUAGAGAUGUGGAGGAAUACCGGUGGCGAAGGCGGCCCCUGGACAAAGACUGACGCUCAUGUGCGAAAGCGUGGGGAGCAAACGAGGAUUAGAUACC
Molecule: ribosomal RNA, 452 nt
Filed under: uncultured bacterium
Lineage: Bacteria
Description: bacterial SSU rRNA
Rfam family: Bacterial small subunit ribosomal RNA
Source: RNAcentral